RNAcentral lists this ribosomal RNA (460 nucleotides) under uncultured bacterium. Its description in RNAcentral is "partial 16S ribosomal RNA". It matches the Rfam family "Bacterial small subunit ribosomal RNA", at positions 338 to 795 of the family's 1533-position model. The record is from RNAcentral.
CCUACGGGCGGCAGCAGUGAGGAAUAUUGGUCAAUGGACGGAAGUCUGAACCAGCCAUGCCGCGUGCAGGAUGACGGCUCUAUGAGUUGUAAACUGCUUUUGUAUUAGGGUAAACACCCCUACGUGUAGGGGCUUGAAAGUAUAAUACGAAUAAGGAUCGGCCAACUCCGGGCCAGCAGCCGCGGUAAAACGGAGGGUGAGAGCGUUAAUCGGAAUUACUGGGCGUAAAGCGCUCGUAGGCGGUAAGGCAAGUAAAGGGUGAAAUCCCCGCGCUCAACGUGGGAACUGCCUUUGAAACUGGCAAACUGGAGUGUGUGAGAGGAUAGUGGAAUUCCAGGUGUAGGAGUGAAAUCCGUAGAUAUCUGGAGGAACAUCAGUGGCGAAGGCGACUAUCUGGCACAUAACUGACGCUGAGGAGCGAAAGCGUGGGUAGCAAACAGGAUUAGAUACCCGUGUAGUC